AUUAGCUAGUUGGUGGGGUAACGGCCUACCAAGGCAACGAUCAGUAUCCGGCCUGAGAGGGCGGACGGACACACUGGGACUGAGACACGGCCCAGACUCCUACGGGAGGCAGCAGUGGGGAAUUGUUCGCAAUGGGCGCAAGCCUGACGACGCAACGCCGCGUGGAGGAUGAAGAUUUUCGGAUCGUAAACUCCUGUCGAAUGGGACGAACAGAUUGCGGGUUAACAGCCCGUAGUCCUGACGGUACCGUUAAAGGAAACCCCGGCUAACUCCGUGCCAGCAGCCGCGGUAAUACGGGGGGGGUAAGCGUUGUUCGGAAUUACUGGGCGUAAAGGGCUCGUAGGCGGCCAACUAAGUCAUACGUGAAAUCCCUCAGCUUAACUGGGGAACUGCGUGUGAUACUGGAUGGCUUGGAUUUGGGAGAGGGAUGCGGAAUUCCAGGUGUAGCGGUGAAAUGCGUAGAUAUCUGGAGGAACACCGGUGGCGAAGGCGGCAUCCUGGACCAAUAUUGACGCUGAGGAGCGAAAGCUAGGGGAGCAAACGGGAUUAGAUACCCCGGUAGUCCUAGCCC
RNAcentral lists this ribosomal RNA (571 nucleotides) under uncultured bacterium. RNAcentral's name for it is "bacterial SSU rRNA". It matches the Rfam family "Bacterial small subunit ribosomal RNA", at positions 240 to 802 of the family's 1533-position model. The record is from RNAcentral.